RNAcentral lists this transfer RNA (70 nucleotides) under Xanthostigma gobicola. Its description in RNAcentral is "tRNA-Ser". The record is from RNAcentral. Lineage: Eukaryota; Metazoa; Arthropoda; Insecta; Raphidioptera; Raphidiidae.
AGAAAUAUAAAAUUUAAGAUAAAGCUGCUAACUUUAACUUUAGCGAUGAAAUUCGUUAAUAUUUCUUUUA